CUCCACAAAUUGAAACACAUAACACUCAAGAUAAAAGUUAAGCGUUGUAAUGGGGCUUGGGGUAUUGGUUAACAAAGAAAGGAUAGGGAAAACAAACGUUCUUCAAGCGAUAGUAAGCCAAGUAGUGAAAUUGAGACUUCAAAUUCACUUAGAGUGCAGAAGUUAACUUUAACACACAAGGGGGAGACUUAAACAACUCCUUAGGGCCGAAUUCAUUGUUUUGGACCCUCACUUCAACAAACAAUACUUUGGAACUCUUUUUCUCAACUUUUCAACUCUUUUUUUUUUUUUCAAACUUUUCAUACUUUUUUCUUCAAUUUUUUUUUUCUUUUUUCACGAAUUUUUUUUUUCUUUUCUUUUCUUUGCCGUGCCUAUGGCACACAAUUCCUCAUGAAAAACACUUCCCCCACACUUGUUUUCUGCUAACAUAGAUUAACGGAAUUCAAUUCGAAUCAUGCUUUACUAUGCUUUAAGAACAAGGGUAUGGAUGGUCCUAAACUAGGCUAGGUGAGGUUAAUGGGGGUUAACAAAGAAAAGGCUAAACAAGGCUCAAUGGGGUUAAAAACCUACAAAACAUAAUAACAGAGGGGAUUUACGGCUUUUUGGCUAUGGUGGUGGUCACUACACAACUUUAUCUUGAAUAUGUGUUAUGCAAUUCAAUGACAUGCUUUGAAUGAAAUGAGCAUGAGUUCUAGCAUUUGGAACUAAAUGAUGAAACGCCUUCUAAGUAGCAACCAAUCAAGGAAUAAUGAGAUCAUGCAACGACUUAGAAAACAAAGAAUGCACAGAUUUUAACUCUCCAAAUAAACGUUUAGGCUCAAGUCUCACAAGGUUGUAGCGUUAAUUCGAGUUCCUUCCUUCAAGCAUGUUACAAAAACUGAUUUUUCCUUUAUGAUUGCAUGUGAAUUCAUAAGUUAUAACCACAACCAAGCAUAAACAAAGAGUAAAUCAAACUUUCAUCCAUGUUAAUCACUCUCUUUAACAGUCAUGCAAUUACAAACCAAAUCCUCAUCAUUGUGUUGGAAGGUACCCUAAGACACAAACAAACACACAAAAACAACUCUUUUUGGGUUUUUAAAACAAAUUUUUCAAAUUUUUUAUGUGAUUUUCGGAUUUUUACUUCAAAACACACUAAAACACACCAAAACUGCUCAAAAACACUUAAAAACAGCAAGGAACAAGUCUCCAAGUUAAGGGUGAUAAAAUCCCACGAAUUUGCAUCUAAAACACUUAGUUACCCCCCCCACACUUAAAUCCACAUUGUCCUCAAUGUUUCAAGCAUAAAAUCACACUAAACAAAAUGAAACACACAAACAGCAACUAAAACAACUAAAUAGGCAGAUUCGAAAUAAACAACAAAGUGAAGAGUUUAAGAACGCAAAUCUGGAAUUGGAGUAAUUCCUUGGUCUUCCUUUGUUGAAUUGCAUGGUUUGCCUCCCAAGUAGCGCUUCCUUUAACGUCGUACAGCCGGACGAAGAGCUCAGUCAUUCUCCAUUUAUGCCCACGGCACCCAAAGAAAUAUCAUCCACGGUUUGUUCAACAAAGUUCUCAUAAUAUGGCUUCAAACGGUGUCCGUUCACUUGGAAUUCAUGACCUGUUUUGAGACUUUGAAUCUGGAUGGCACCAUGAGAAGAUACAUUAGUAAUAACAAACGGUCCAAUCCACUUAGAACGUAACUUACCGGGAAACAAACGUAAACGGGAAUUGAACAAUAGCACUUUCUGCCCAAUUGAGAAUGAUUUCCCACGGAUCAUGUUGUCAUGGAAAGCUUUGGUCUUUUGCUUGUAAAUGCUUGCAUUAUCGUACGCCUCGUGCCGUAUCUCAUCAAGCUCAUUCAAUUGCAAUCUCCUUUGACUUCUUGCUUGCUCGAGGUUCAUGUUAAACUUCUUGAUGGCCCAAAGUGCUUUAUGCUCCAAUUCAACAGGAAAAUGGCACGCCUUGCCAUAGACAAGUCGAAAGGGGGACAUCCCAAUGGGGGUUUUGUAUGCCGUACGAUACGCCCAAAGCGCAUCAUCUAACCGUAAGCUCAAAUCCUUCCUUGUUGGCCCAACGGUCUUCUCAAGUAUUUGCUUGAUCUCUCGGUUGGAAACCUCGGCUUGGCCAUUCGUUUGAGGAUGGUAAGGUGUAGAAACCUUUUGGGUGACACUGUAUUUCCUCAAUAACGCUUCAAUGGUCCGAUUGCAAAAAUGUGACCCUCCAUCACUAAUGAUCACUCGUGGCAUUCCGAACCUUGCAAAAAUGUUAGUUCUAAUAAAAUCUGCAACCACUUUAGAAUCAUUAGUCCGGGUGGCCUUGGCUUCCACCCAUUUCGACACAUAAUCAACCGCAAGCAAAAUAUACAUGAAACCAUACGAUGAAGGGAAGGGACCCAUAAAAUCAAUACCCCAAACAUCAAAAAUUUCAACAUUUAGGACAGAAACCUGCGGCAUUUGGUCAUUUGCAUUAAUACCACCCAUUCGUUGGCAUUUAUCACAUGUUAAGCAAAAAGUUUUAGCAUCUUUAAAAAUACUAGGCCAAUAGAAUCCACAUUGUAACACCUUGAGGGCUGUGCGUUGUGUGCCAAAGUGCCCUCCACAUGCAUAUGUGUGACAAAAACUCAAAAUUGAAUAACAUUCAGAAUCGUGCACACAACGACGUAUAAUCUGAUCGGGGCAAAAUUUCCAUAAGUACGGAUCAUCCCACACAUAAAACCGUGCAUCAUGCCUAAGUUUAUCACGUUGGUGCCUAGUGAACUCACUUGGGAUACAUUUUGACACCAAAAAAUUAACAAUAUCGGCAUACCAAGGUGCACUAACCUUAAUGGACAGCAAUUGUUCAUCGGGGAAUGUCUCCAAAAUCGGCAAAGACUCCUCAUUAUGCACCAUUCGGCUUAGGUGGUCAGCCACCACGUUUUCACUUCCCUUCUUGUCCCGAAUCUCUAUGUCAAACUCUUGAAGUAGCAAUAUCCAUCGAAUUAGCCGUGGCUUGGCCUCCUUUUUGGUGAGCAAGUACUUCAGAGCUGCAUGAUCAGUGAAAACAAUUACUUUAGUUCCAAUUAAAUAUGAUCGAAAUUUAUCUAAAGCAAAGACAACGGCAAGGAGUUCUUUUUCCGUAGUGGAGUAGUUCAAUUGUGCAUCGUUCAACGUCCGUGAGGCGUAGUAAAUGAUCGGAUCAUAUUUAUAUAUAUUUUUACUUCGAAUUCACUCGUCUUUUCUUAGUUAGUUCCUUAUAUUUUUGAGCUAUUUACGUUAUUUUUGUGUUUAUAGGAUUUGUUAUGCAAAGAAAAUAAAAAUGGCACAAACUUGUUAUUUACUCACUAAAUUUUGUCAGGUUGGAAUCAGAGUUUGCACUGGGGUUUUUAUUAAACUUAAAGAUGUUUCAGGUGGAAUGGUGAGUAACGCACAAAGAAAAGAAGCAGCAAGGCUGCCAAAAAGAAGAAUAAAUAAAAAGAGGAAAAAGCAGCACUUGGCUGCCUGGGUGGAACAAAAGAAAACAAAAGAAUGAGUGGAGCACGAAGAAAAGAAUAAAUGAAAGCUGCUGAGUGCAGCGUGGUAGGUGGGCAGCGGGCAUAUAUGAGAAAACUGAGCGCAGAAGGCAAGGGGGGAAGAACGCUGCCCUUUGGCAGCGAGGUCAGAGGGGAGAAGUGGAAGACACGGGGAGAGAGAGCAGAAAGCUGCCUUAGGCAGCACACGGAAAGAAGAAUAAGGGGCGGGAGAAGAAGGACAGCUGCUUUGAGCAGCGUGAGCAAAGCUGCAGUGCCAGAGGAGAGAAACAGAAGGCCUUUGGCAGCGUGAGGUCAGAGAGCAGCUCGCAGGGGUUCAAAGGCACAGACAGAAACACUCUUCUCUCUCGGUUAAAUCUUUCCAAACUUAUAUUUUAUUUCUGUUUUAAUAAUGUGUAACUAAAUUUAUUUUGGCUAGAGGUUAAUUCAAAGCCAUGAAUAUAUUUGUAAUAUGAAUUGAUUACCUUCAGUUGUGAUUUCUAAGUUGUGAUUUAAUUUGCUUAACUGCUUGAUUUAUAACUUAUUUUUGUAUGUCGAUUAAGGAUGCAUACUUAAUUUAACAUGCAUGAAUUUGAUGCUAGAAUAUAAGUGAAUUUCACCUAAUCGUUAUGAACUUAUAUUCACAAGUAGUGAAGGUUGCUAGUCACAAUCACGUUAAGUAAAUUCUUGGCAUAAGUUUCAUGCAAAUCAUAGUAACGAGUGCCUCGUCAAUGCUUAUGUUUUUCAUAGAAACUUAAUGAUUCUUGCUUGUAUCUCUAUUAUGCAAUUCAUGUAGGGAACUUGUAGGGAAUGUUUUUGGGUUGUCGUAUGCAAUCAUCCAACCCAAUAACAUUGUGGAAAAACUGAGGGUUAAUUAGUGCAAUUCACGGUUAAUUUGGGGCGUUGAGAUUUACAAUUUAUUGAAAAGAACAACUGAAAAUCAAAUUUAGGUUGCAUAUGUGUCAUGUGUGGAGAAGAACCCUCUAGCUAAUCCGUCACUUAUCAUUUCAACCUUAAUUUCAUGCUUUUGUCAAUUCUGUAAUUUAUUUAAGUUAAUUUACGUCUCGUCAAAACCAAAAACCCCCCUCAUUAUUAAAUUAUAUUAUUUAGUUAGUUUUCAUUGUUUUUAGUCUUUUAAUUCAAUUUCCGUCCAUUUCAAUUCCUAGUGUCUAAUUUGAUUGUUUUCAUUAUUUUGAGUCUUUCUAAGUGUGUUUCGAGGUAUUAGAGUUUUUAGCCUAGUUUUGUGUCCUUGAGUCUUGUUUAAUAUUUUUAAAUUAAUUUAGAAUAGAUUAGCAAUCCCUCCUAAUCCCCGGCCUACAACGAUACCCUACUUACAUCUAUACUACAAUUGUCAAAAAGAGGGUUUAAUUUGUGUGUCAAGUAAUUUCUCGCAUCAGUAAAUGACAUGCGGCCUCUUGUCAUUUCUUUGUCCUAAAACAGCUCCUAAAGCAUAGUCGGACGCAUCACACAUGAGCUCGAAAGGUAGACUCCAAUCCGGUGGAACAAUGAUGGGUGCCGUGGUCAACAACUCCUUGAGUUGGUUGAAUGAUGCCGUGCACUCCUUGGUGAAUUCAAACGCCACUUCUUUUUGUAGGAGUCGGCAAAGAGGUUGUGCUAUCUUCGAGAAAUCUUUGAUAAACCUACGAUAAAAUCCUGCAUGGCCAAGAAACGAACGAACCUCUCUAACCGAAGUCGGAGAGGGUAAGUGACGUACAAGAUCUAUUUUUUGACUUAUCAACCUCAAUACCCUUUUCAGAGAUUAUAUGACCUAAAACGAUGCCUUGUUUAACCAUAAAAUGACACUUUUCCCAAUUAAGAACAAGGUUAGUUUCAACGCAACGUUUUAAGAUCACACUUAGAUUAUGCAAGCAACUAUCAAACGAAUCACCAAAGACGCUAAAAUCAUCCAUAAACACUUCAAUUAUCUUCUCUACAUAAUCAGAAAAUAUGCUCAUCAUGCAUCUUUGAAAUGUAGCAGGUGCAUUACUGAUAGGAGCAUAUUUAUGCGCCUUAGUUAGCUAGUUCUUAUGCAUUUCCAUGGUGUUUUCUUAGUUAAAAUAGUCUUUUAAGCUAGUUUUAUGUGUUUUCAGGUUUUAAGGCCAAAGGAUGCAAGAAGAUGCAUUUUGGAGCUUUUUGGAGCAAAAUUGGGCUUGGAAUGAUUAUCACAUAAUUGGAGCCAAGGUUUGGACGAAUUUGAAGACUUGAAGAUGAUGAUUCCUACUUGAACAAGGUUUCCUAGUUGAAGUAGGAAAGUGCUUACAUGAAGGAGGAUUCCUAAUCGACGAAGGAUUCCUAAUCAACGAAGGAUUCCUAAUCAACGAAGGAUUCCUAAUUGAAGAUGGAUUCCUAAUCACAUGAGGAUUCCUAGAAGAACAAGGAUUCCUACUCCAACAAGGAUUCCUACUUGAAGUAGGAAAGUUAAGCCAAGGUUUCCUACUUUGGUUUGAUUUUUCCUAAUUGUCCCUAAAAGUUCCAGCAAUUAUGAAGAUUUUCUAAGCAUUCUAGGACACAAAACAAAAGCCUAGAACCCUUAUGGACCCCUUGCCACACUCCCUUGCCCUUUCCUCUUCCUUGCCGUGCAAGGGAGAGGGCUCUUUCCUGUUUUGGAGCAUUAAAACACCUUCCUUUUUAUGCUUUAAACCCUGGCCGAAUUUCCUUGACCCUUCCUUUUAAUUUUCUGAUUUGUUUCCUUAAUUCUAGAAGCUUUAAACUUAAUUCCUGAUUACCUAAUUAGCCUAGGGUUUUUAAUUUCCUAAAUCCCUUUAAAUAAACAUCCUUGUGCAGCCACAAAGGGGAACCAUUCAUCAGAAAAUAAUCCUUCACGCCAGAAACCAUUCUCCAUCUUCAACAGCAACCUAUCCUUCAUCAUUCACAUAUUUUUCUGACCCAAAACCACCCUAGCCGUCCCAUACACCUAUCCUACACACUUUUCCACCAAUUCUACACCAUCCAUAACCCCCAAAAACCAUCACAAACCCCUGGCCGCAACCAAGGAAGAGGAGGAAGGUUCUUAGACGUUCCUGCUGUGCAAUUUAGAUUGCUGGAAUUUUUAGGUGUGAUCUUUCUUAUGUUUUCAAUGUUUCAAUUCAAUAAACUUUGUGUUGUGAGUAUGAGGAACUAAACCCCCUUAGUUGGGGGGUGAUUCGAAACCAUGUACAUGCUUGCAAUAUGAUUUGAUUACAUUCAGUUGUUAUUUCAUAAGUUGUGGAUUCAAUUCGUUCAUCUACUUGAUUGAUAACUUAUUUGUGUAUGUUGAUUGAGAGUGCACGCUUAGUUUUCAUGCAUGAAUAUGAUGCUAGAUUAUGAGGGAGUUUCACCUAAUAGUUACAAUCUUAUAAUCACAAGUAGUGAAGGUCGCUUGAAAACGAUCGCGUUGAAUGAAUUCUUGGCACUAGUUUCAUGCUCAUCAUAGUAACGAAUGCCUCGUCAACACUUAUAGUUCUCAUUGUGCUUCAUGAUUCUUGAUUGUAUCUUUAUUGUGCUCAUCACGUAAGGAACCUUUAAGGAAUGCUUUGAAUUGUUGUAUGCGCUUUCCCAUCCAAUUCAUUAACUUUAGGAGAACUUGAAGGUUAAUUUAAGCGUAUCUAAUUAACUUGGGGUGUUGAGUUUCAUAAUUUAUUGGGAGAACAACUGAAAAUCGUUUUGUUUGCAAGUGUGUCAUGUGUGGAGAAGAACCUCCUAACUAGCCUUCUACCCAUCUAUUUCACCAAAAUCGUUUUUUACAAUCUGCCCUAUUUCAACUGUUUUCUUUAUUUUAAUUUUUUCGUCAAAACAAAUCCCCCUUUAUUUUGAGUCCUAGAUUAGUUAGAAAGUGUGUUAGUUUAUGUUUUCUAGUGUUUUGAGUCAAGUUAUAACAUAAAUUCGUCCAAAUUUGUGUUAGUACUCAAAACUGCCCAGAUUGUGCUUCUAAGGCAGUUUUGAGUGUUUAUUUGCUGUUUUGGUUCCUUUGCUUUGUUUUGGUGUUUUAACUUUUAAUUUUACAUUCUUUGAGUCUAGUUUAGUGUUUUAAACUUUGUUUUUACAUUAUUGAGUCAGUUUUCAAGAGAUUAGCAAUCCCUCCUAAUCCCCGGUUUAGAACGAUCCCUACUUACAUAUUUACUACAAUUUGACAAAAGAGGGUUUAAUUUGUGUGCUUAAUAUAUUUCGCAUCAAAUUUUUGGCGCCGUUGCCGGGGAUUAGCAAAUUUGCUAAUCCCUUGGAUUGUCUUUUGUUUCUAUUUCUUUUAUUUCACUUUGUUUCUGAUUUUGUGUAAGUUUCUGACCUAAUUUUGUUUCUUGUUUCUUAGGUACUAAUGUAUGACUAGAAGCUCUCAAACGAUUCGUGCGAACAUCUUGGAUUUUGACGACUAUUUUGAGAGGAAGUUGAGAAGAGUUAGAAACCAGCAAGAACACCAUCCACCAAAUUCCGAAUCUGACCUUGAAGAAAACGUACAAGAAGAGGAAGAGGAAGCCACGGCAAGGAUAUUUGAAGAAGUCCAAGGCAUGGCCAUGGACAAUCGUACACUCAAGGAGCUUUCCGCCUCAGGUUUGGAUAAUGCCGCACCCUUGUGCAUUCAAUACCCCAUGGCAGCCCAAGGUAAGACAGACGAGUUUGAAUUAAAGUCAAGUUUGCUUCAUCAUAUCCCUAAAUACCAUGGCUUGUCCAUGGAAGAUCCUAACAAACAUUUGAAAGAAUUUGAAGUAGUUUGCUCUAGUAUGACUCCCGUCAAUGUUGACGGAAAUAUCUUGAAGAUGAAGGCUUUUCCAUUCUCUUUGAUGGAUAAAGCCAAGGAUUGGUUAUACGAGUUAGCUCCCGGCACUGUCACUUCUUGGGAGGGUAUGAAGAGAGCGUACUUGGAGAAGUUCUUUCCAACUUCUCGCAUCAUCCUCCUACGCAAAAAGAUAAGCGGAAUUCAGCAAGAAGAAGGUGGGUCUUUUCCUACAUAUUAUGAACGAUUUAAAUCACUUGUUGCUUCUUGUCCACAGCAUCAGAUGAAGGAGGAAUUGCUCUUGCCGUGCCUAUGACACACAAUUCCUCAUGAAAAACACUUCCCCCACACUUGUUUUCUGCUAACAUAGAUUAACAGGAAUUCAAUUCGAAUCAUGCUUUACUAUGCUUUAAGAACAAGGGUAUGGAUGGUCCUAAACUAGGAUAGGUGAGGUUAAUGGGGGUUAACAAAGAAAAGGCUAAACAAGGCUCAAUGGGGUUAAAAACCUACAAAACAUAAUAACAGAGGGGAUUUACGGCUUUUUGGCUAUGGUGGUGGUCACUACACAACUUUAUCUUGAAUAUGUGUUAUGCAAUUCAAUGACAUGCUUUGAAUGAAAUGAGCAUGAGUUCUAGCAUUUGGAACUAAAUGAUGAAACGCCUUCUAAGUAGCAACCAAUCAAGGAAUAAUGAGAUCAUGCAACGACUUAGAAAACAAAGAAUGCACAGAUUUUAACUCUCCAAAUAAACGUUUAGGCUCAAGUCUCACAAGGUUGUAGCGUUAAUUCGAGUUCCUUCCUUCAAGCAUGUUACAAAAACUGAUUUUUCCUUUAUGAUUGCAUGUGAAUUCAUAAGUUAUAACCACAACCAAACAUAAACAAAGAGUAAAUCAAACUUUCAUCCAUGUUAAUCACUCUCUUUAACAGUCAUGCAAUUACAAACCAAAUCCUCAUCAUUGUGUUGGAAGGUACCCUAAGACACAAACAAACACACAAAAACAACUCUUUUUGGGUUUUUAAAACAAAUUUUUCAAAUUUUUAUGUGAUUUUCGGAUUUUUACUUCAAAACACACUAAAACACACCAAAACUGCUCAAAAACACUUAAAAACAGCAAGGAACAAGUCUCCAAGUUAAGGGUGAUAAAAUCCCACGAAUUUGCAUCUAAAACACUUAGUUAGCCCCCCACACUUAAAUCCAACAUUGUCCUCAAUGUUUCAAGCAUAAAAUCACACUAAACAAAAAGAAACACACAAACAGCAACUAAAACAACU
This 9417-nucleotide long non-coding RNA is filed under the name Malus domestica (apple). RNAcentral's name for it is "long non-coding RNA (MDOM_LNC019010)". The record is from RNAcentral. Lineage: Eukaryota; Viridiplantae; Streptophyta; Magnoliopsida; Rosales; Rosaceae.